AUAGUACUCCCUCCGUCCGGAAUUACUUGUCAUCAAAAUUGAUGACAAUGGAUGUAUCUAGAACUAAAAUACAUCUAGAUACAUCCAUUUCAAUGACAAGUAUUUCCGGACGGAGGGAGUAUGUG
Molecule: non-coding RNA, 125 nt
Organism: Triticum aestivum (bread wheat)
Lineage: Eukaryota; Viridiplantae; Streptophyta; Magnoliopsida; Poales; Poaceae
Source: Rfam